AAAACAAAACUGAGGUACCUUAGAGGAGGCUGCGUUUACCAUUAGUUUGCUAUUGAUAAAAUCUUACACUAACUUAUCUUCAAGAACACACUUAUGGUGUCUUUGAAAUAUUAUGUGCUGAAAAGGUGUGCACAUUUUCUUUUAAACUCUUUCACACAGAAAAAAUACCUCCUGAAAGAAUAACACACUCCUACCUCUUCUUUGCUAAUCUUCCCCUCAAUAACUUGUAUGGUAUUCUCCAACUCCUCCCCUCCCCAGGAAAGGGAGGAGGAACAGAAAGCAGGAAGCAAGGUAAAAAUGACUGAGCUACUGAGAGAAUCAAAAGAAGAAAAGUAGGAGCCCAAGGAGUAGAAAAGAUUGUAGAGAAAAACCAAUGCUCUUGAAAUCUCCAGCUGAUUCUGUCCUUCUAUAUUAACAUUAUUAUUAUGUAUGUUUUCUAGAAAAAAAUGAAAGGAAUCUUAUGGGUUCUCUUGUGUUUAGGUGAAGGGCAAUUGCUAUUUCCUAGUCGUGACCAGGCUGCUACACCACAGGAGCUGCAGUGGAGUACAUUGUUCUCUCCUGUCUGUUUGAAAAAUAUUUCCAGUCAGAAGACAGUCACAUGAAAUAUAUUUGGCCUAAAUUCUCCCUUGGUACUACUAAUCACUUUUCUUUCCACCCACAAUAUCUUUCUUUGCUUAUGCUUUAUUAUUCAUUGGUAUUCAAAUAAAGCCUAGCUCAACUCUGACACACAAAGGUGUGUGUGUGUGUAUGUGUGUGUGUGUGUGUGUGUGUGUGUGUUU
Long non-coding RNA from Perognathus longimembris pacificus (Pacific pocket mouse), 779 nucleotides. RefSeq lists it as uncharacterized. The transcript has 3 exons. The record is from RefSeq and is a predicted model, not a curated record. Lineage: Eukaryota; Metazoa; Chordata; Mammalia; Rodentia; Heteromyidae.